Molecule: ribosomal RNA, 253 nt
Filed under: uncultured bacterium
Lineage: Bacteria
Description: partial 16S ribosomal RNA
Rfam family: Bacterial small subunit ribosomal RNA
Source: RNAcentral
UACGUAGGUGGCAAGCGUUGUCCGGAUUUACUGGGCGUAAAGGGCGUGCAGGCGGUCUGUUAAGUGCAGGGUGAAAGCUCCCGGCUCAACUGGGAGAGGUCCUUGCAUACUGGCGGACUUGAGGGGGGUAGAGGAAAGUGGAAUUCCCGGUGUAGUGGUGAUAUGCGUAGAUAUCGGGAGGAACACCUGUGGCGAAGGCGGCUUUCUGGGCCCUACCUGACGCUGUGACGCGAAAGCGUGGGGAGCGAACCGG